ACGCUCGACACCUACGGGAGGCAGCAGUGGGGAAUAUUGGGCAAUGGACGCAAGUCUGACCCAGCAACGCCGCGUGAAGGAAGAAGGCUUUCGGGUUGUAAACUUCUUUUGUCAGGGAACAGUAGAAGAGGGUACCUGACGAAUAAGCCACGGCUAACUACGUGCUAGCAGCCGCGGUAAUCUGAGCGGGCUGGCAAGGC
Molecule: ribosomal RNA, 200 nt
Filed under: uncultured bacterium
Lineage: Bacteria
Description: partial 16S ribosomal RNA
Rfam family: Bacterial small subunit ribosomal RNA
Source: RNAcentral